This is a non-coding RNA of Petromyzon marinus (sea lamprey), 1486 nucleotides long. NCBI's taxonomy places the organism in Eukaryota, Metazoa, Chordata, Hyperoartia, Petromyzontiformes, Petromyzontidae. The record is from RefSeq and is a predicted model, not a curated record.
AGUCACGUGACGUCAACGGAGAGUGGUUUCCUUCGUGGUCACACAUGUUGCGGCUUUUGCUGAACAUUUUUUGCUCCUUUUUUUUCCGCAAACAUGUUCCAAAACAAGCAGCUUCCAGCGUCUCAUUUGUCGAUGUCCAAUGUGUAUCGCGACUGCUAUUGCUGUUAAAGUUCGUGCCACCGAAAUUUGGGCCGCACUCGAAGACGCGUGUUUGGAUUAACUGGCAGCAUGUCAAGAUAGUUCAUUGGUGUCCGAACUGAGACCAUCAACCCUCUCCACGUGAGAACCCGGCUUUAAUUACAAGCGGAUGAAACCCAGAACAGAAAGUCUCAUCGUAACGCGAGCCAGGCCCAACCUGAGCCCCCUCAACUACGAACUCUUCAAGCAUUUUUUCACGGGUAUCCUUUCAUAACAAUCAAAAAGGGUUUACAUCUCUCGCUGUUUCAACGUGACUGCACACGGGGUCUCAACGACAACAAAAAAAUUACUCCCGGGCGUGCCAUUCAUUCUAGGCACUGUUGCAACAAGCUUUCAGGUAUGUUUAACGAUGGCUGGAGAGAGAGAGAGAGAAAAACAAAUAACUCUUUGGGUCUUCAUGCAACGUUAUUAUUGUCACUGUGCGUUUACAAUGAAGGAUAUUGAAAACAAUGUUGUUCUGGGUUUUUUUUUUGCGUGCUCCGAAAAUAUGUUUGCGAUGGACACCGGCUGAAUAACGGCCCACUGAGGUGUAAUUAGCCUGCGAUCAAUUCACACGAACGCUCCCCAACACCUCGGCAGAUCUCACGAGCUAAGCUGGAGUUGAGCCUGGAUAGUGCUUGGAUGGGUGAGCACCGUGCGGAAUAUGUGCUCUGGGCUGCGGGGCUACGUGCUGGACAACAGAGAGCGGUGCCCCAAAAUCCAUUGUGCUGUACUUCUGUGCUCCCCCCACGUCUAUCCUUCCUGCAUUCACUAUACUUCUACUCCUAAGCCUUCACGCUGACGUUCACCGCUCGCUUUGCCAACCUUCAGAGACCCGCAUGGCGAAGUAUGGUUCAACAGCACCCGUGAUUGACACGGCGUGAGGAGACCUGGAUUAUUGUCAAACAGCCUGAAUGGCAUGGCAUGAGGAAUCCUUCAUCCAGCAGUGGAUUGACAAAGAGCAAUACAUCAUCAUUAUUAUUCAGAACACGACGUGCACACCCUAUCCUUUGCUUACACUUGUAUCACUUGUGUGUGUUUCACUUGUCGUCAUUGUACAGCCAUUUCAAUGAAAGCGUGAUGAUGCAACGUCCAUGCCCCGAUGCAAUUAAGCCAGCGCUAACAAGUCGCUCCCAGUGACGACACUGCCCCGUCUAAAGCCCCCGCAGAGCCAACGGUAGAGACGCUGCGGAGAGCGCGAAGCGACGCCGCUCUUCCAAAUCCGCCGAGUCCCGGCCUCGGCCAGCGCCGCUGCCACGUGUGACAACAAUUGGCCAUCUUCAUAACAUCGCCAGCCACAGAAGCACCA